RNAcentral lists this ribosomal RNA (253 nucleotides) under bacterium. RNAcentral describes it as "partial 16S ribosomal RNA". It matches the Rfam family "Bacterial small subunit ribosomal RNA", at positions 524 to 776 of the family's 1533-position model. The record is from RNAcentral. RNAcentral also lists the same sequence under 1 other name.
UACGUAGGUGGCAAGCGUUGUCCGGAUUUAUUGGGUUUAAAGGGUGCGUAGGCGGCCCUGUAAGUCAGUGCUGAAAUAUCCCGGCUUAACUGGGAGGGUGGCAUUGAUACUGUGGGGCUAGAGUACAGAUGAGGUAGGCGGAAUUGACGGUGUAGCGGUGAAAUGCUUAGAUAUCGUCAAGAACACCUAUAGCGAAGGCAGCUUACUAGGCUGUAACUGACGCUGAGGCACGAAAGUGUGGGGAUCAAACAGG